Molecule: non-coding RNA, 117 nt
Filed under: Brevundimonas sp. G8
Lineage: Bacteria; Pseudomonadati; Pseudomonadota; Alphaproteobacteria; Caulobacterales; Caulobacteraceae
Description: SAM
Rfam family: SAM riboswitch aptamer (S box leader)
About the family: The SAM riboswitch is found upstream of a number of genes which code for proteins involved in methionine or cysteine biosynthesis in Gram-positive bacteria. The SAM riboswitch acts at the level of transcription termination control.
Source: RNAcentral
CACUCAUCAAGACCAGCCGAGGGAUUAGGCCCUUUGACGCUGGGGCAACCAUCGGGUCUCACAACUCGAAACGGUGCCAACUCCUGCGAGAUCCUUCGGGAUCGCGAGAGAUGAGUG